Molecule: ribosomal RNA, 460 nt
Filed under: uncultured bacterium
Lineage: Bacteria
Description: bacterial SSU rRNA
Rfam family: Bacterial small subunit ribosomal RNA
Source: RNAcentral
AACGAACGCUGGCGGCAGGCCUAACACAUGCAAGUCGAACGGGACCUUCGGGUCUAGUGGCGGACGGGUGAGUAACGCGUGGGAACGCGCCCUUUGGUUCGGAAUAGCCUCGGGAAACUGGGAGUAAUACCGGAUACGGUCGAGAGACGAAAGAUUUAUCGCCGAAGGAUCGGCCCGCGUUGGAUUAGGUAGUUGGUGGGGUAAAGGCCUACCAAGCCGACGAUCCAUAGCUGGUUUGAGAGGAUGAUCAGCCACACUGGGACUGAGACACGGCCCAGACUCCUACGGGAGGCAGCAGUGGGGAAUCUUAGACAAUGGGGGAAACCCUGAUCUAGCCAUGCCGCGUGAUCGAUGAAGGCCUUAGGGUUGUAAAGAUCUUUCAGUGGGGAAGAUAAUGACGGUACCCACAGAAGAAGCCCCGGCUAACUCCGUGCCAGCAGCCGCGGUAAUGUGACUACUG